RNAcentral lists this ribosomal RNA (475 nucleotides) under uncultured organism. RNAcentral's name for it is "partial 16S ribosomal RNA". It matches the Rfam family "Bacterial small subunit ribosomal RNA", at positions 334 to 800 of the family's 1533-position model. The record is from RNAcentral.
CACUCCUGCGGGAGGCAGCAGUGGGGAAUUUUGGACAAUGGGCGAAAGCCUGAUCCAGCAAUGCCGCGUGCAGGAUGAAGGCCUUCGGGUUGUAAACUGCUUUUGUACGGAACGAAAAAGCUCCUUCUAAUACAGGGGGCCCAUGACGGUACCGUAAGAAUAAGCACCGGCUAACUACGUGCCAGCAGCCGCGGUAAUACGUAGGGUGCGAGCGUUAAUCGGAAUUACUGGGCGUAAAGCGUGCGCAGGCGGUUAUGUAAGACAGAUGUGAAAUCCCCGGGCUCAACCUGGGAACUGCAUUUGUGACUGAAUGGCUAGAGUACGGUAGAGGGAGAUGGAAUUCCGCGUGUAGCAGUGAAAUGCGUAGAUAUGCGGAGGAACACCGAUGGCGAAGGCAAUCCCCUGGACCUGUACUGACGCUCAUGCACGAAAGCGUGGGGAUCAAACAGGAUUAGAAACCCUAGUAGUCCCAUGA